RNAcentral lists this ribosomal RNA (495 nucleotides) under uncultured bacterium. RNAcentral's name for it is "partial 16S ribosomal RNA". It matches the Rfam family "Bacterial small subunit ribosomal RNA", at positions 28 to 507 of the family's 1533-position model. The record is from RNAcentral.
GACGAACGCUGGCGGCGUGCCUAAUACAUGCAAGUAGAACGCUGAAGGAGGAGCUUGCUCUUCUGGAUGAGUUGCGAACGGGUGAGUAACGCGUAGGUAACCUGCCUGGUAGCGGGGGAUAACUAUUGGAAACGAUAGCUAAUACCGCAUAACAGUAGAUGUUGCAUGACAUUUGCUUAAAAGGUGCAAUUGCACCACUACCAGAUGGACCUGCGUUGUAUUAGCUAGUUGGUGGGGUAACGGCUCACCAAGGCGACGAUACAUAGCCGACCUGCGAGGGGGAUCGGCCACACUGGGACGGAGACCCGGCCCAGACGCCUACGGGAGGCAGCAGUAGGGAAUCUUCGGCAAUGGACGGAAGUCUGACCGAGCAACGCCGCGUGAGGGAAGAAGGUUUUCGGAUCGUAAAGCUCGGUUGUAAGAGAAGAACGAGUGUGAGAGUGGAAAGUUCACACUGUGACGGUAUCUUACCAGAAAGGGACGGCUAACUACGUG